Molecule: ribosomal RNA, 253 nt
Filed under: uncultured bacterium
Lineage: Bacteria
Description: partial 16S ribosomal RNA
Rfam family: Bacterial small subunit ribosomal RNA
Source: RNAcentral
GACGAACCGAGCGAACGUUGUUCGGAAUCACUGGGCUUAAAGGGCGCGUAGGCGGGCUGCCAAGUCUGUGGUGAAAUCCUCCAGCUUAACUGGAGAACGGCCGUGGAUACUGGCGGUCUCGAGGAAGGUAGGGGCAAGUGGAACUGUGCGUGGAGCGGUGAAAUGCGUUGAUAUGCACAGGAACUCCGGUGGCGAAGGCGACUUGCUGGACCUUUUCUGACGCUGAGGCGCGAAAGCUAGGGGAGCGAACGGG